Molecule: long non-coding RNA, 1246 nt
Organism: Coregonus clupeaformis (lake whitefish)
Lineage: Eukaryota; Metazoa; Chordata; Actinopteri; Salmoniformes; Salmonidae
Exons: 5
Source: RefSeq, a predicted model, not a curated record
UAUGACAAAAUAAAAUAGUGGGCUAACAGAGCAAAAAAUGCAUGAUUCACAGUUCGGCUACAUCUACGCCACCACAACAAUUGCAUAAAAAACGAAAGUUAACUUACUACGUUACCCAUAACGCACUUUAGUGUUUUAAAGCUAUACCCCUACUUUACCAACGGUACAUUAGUACUCUCUAAAUUGCCCCCUGCCGCUCCGGCCGCCCAGAGUGGCUCGCUUGUGGGUGUGCUGGCAGCAAAUAGCAGCACAUUCGACUGUGAGUCAAAAAUUCAGCGUAGCAAGUUUGUAUGAAGGUUUGGUUAUUAAAUGGGUAAAUAGUUUAAUCCAUUCGCCGUUUAAUAAUGUAUUCACAGGUAAAUAGUAAUACGCUCUAAACCGCUCUGGUGACAAACAAACUUUGUUGCCCUGUCUCCAAUCAUCCACAUGGCUGAGAUAACCUAUUCAAAUACAGAGAGCUGUGAAAGCCUGUCUGCAGAUGAAGAGGUCCCAAUGAAGAGCAGUGGUUCUCUGUCCCGGUCCUGGGGUCUCAAAGGGGUGCACAUUUUAGUUUUUGCCUUAGCACUACACAGCUGAUUCAAGUGAUCAACUCAUCAAGUUUCAACUGAUACCUUGCAACUGGAGAUUCUUUCAAAACGAUUGCCUACAGUUACCGUGUAGGGCACUGCACGGCUUGGUACAUUGUCGCGAGUGUGACCAGGGCCAUCUAGGACUGCCUCGUGGGGGAAUUCAGGCGUGUGUGAAGGCUACCUGUGUCCUGCAUAACUUCAUGAGGAUGGACACAAGGACUAUGAGGGGACCUGCAGCUCUCUGCCGUGUGCCAGAGGUCUGCUGCUCUGUAGGAUGUUGCACAGAUGGGGACCAACAACGCAGCAUGGGAGGCAAUCCUACUUCUUCGAAAUCUAUAUACAGUGUGUGCAAAUGUAGUAAGUUAUGGAGGUUAUAUCAGCUGUGUCGGUGAACCCGUCCCGCUUCUGAACUGCCUAAAACAGAGGGCACAGCAUGAUCAGAGGUAUGUUUUGAUGUGAGAGAGGAUGCCAACCUCCAGUCCCGUCAUCGCCACCUCACUUGCUUGAAGAUAACCCUCGGGCCAACUGGGGGCCCAAGGCUGGUUAGGAGACACCGCUAAAGACACUAUUAUGUAAUUGUGAUGACCUGCGAGAAUACGAAGUUUAGUAGCACUGUAAUUCAUUAAUCAUAUGCUGUCUUCCCUGCUAAUCUGUUCUUAUCUCUUUCCCUUUCUGUC